AAGAAUCACUGUUUAGAUGAUAGUGUAGGUAAAUUUACGGAAGCAAGAGAUCAGAAGUAAAUACAUAACAGAACAAAUUCUACCCUGUGUUACAAUAUCUUCCCCUGCCUAUAAAGUAGUACAGUCACUAUAUAAACAACUUACAUAUCUGCUGCUCUCUAGAAGAUCCAGAGAGGCUUUAAAAGUUUUAUUUUGGCCAGGCACAGUGACUCAUGCCUGUAAUCCCAGCACUUUGGGAGGCCGAGGCAGGUGGAUUGUGAGGUCAAGAGUUCAAGACCAGCCUGCCCAAGAUGGUGAAACUCCAUCUCUAUUAAAAAUAGGAAACAAAACAAAACAAAAAAAGAAUUAGCCGGGCAUGCAUGGUGGUGGGCGCCUGUAAUCCCAGCUACUUGGAGGCUGAGGCAAAGAAUCACUUGAACCUGGCAGGUGGGGGUUACAGUGAGCCAAGAUCGCGCCGCUGCACUCCAGCCUGGGCAACAGAGCAAGACUCAGCCUCAAAAAAAAAAAAAAAUUUUUCUUAACUUGGGUAGUAGUUACAAGGAUAUUCACCUUGUGAUAAUUCAUUAAGCUGUAAAUUAGGCCUGAUUUUUAAAAAUAGCUGUGAUAUCUAUUUAUACUAAGAUAUUAAAAAAUGAAAGGGAGAAUUUUUAAAAAACACAAACAAACAAAAAAAUCCCCAAGUUGUGAGUGGUUAAUUAUUUCACAGAGGAAAUAGUAUGUGGUUAAAUAUUUCAGAGAGGACAAAUAGUAGAAAAUAAAUCAAAAUAUAAAAACAAACUUAGAGGUGCCUCCAACCAUUUUCAUGUCUGGAAGCACAUGAUAACCUUUAUGAGCACACGGAGAUGAAAAGAUAGUACUAUAGUCUGGAGUUCCAGUCACCCAUGCUGCCCAGCCGACCAAGGACAGAGGGCUAAUUCCUUAAACCACCUUUGAAACAUUGGUGACACAGCAGUUGAAAGCUAUCUUCCUGAGACCAAGGGCCAGGCAAGAAAUGAAGUCUGGGAUUGCAGGCUGGGGGAAACUUUCACUAAUUGUGUGACUUUUCUAACUUUUUUUUUCUGUAGAGGCAAGUGUAGAAAUAAUUUUUUCAUUCGGAACUACAAGGCACAUCCUUCUGCUAAGCAAUCAAAAUUGAGGCUUAUUUCCAUUUCAAACUGUUUCUUUAUUCCUUGAAUUUGCCCUUUCUGAUUUUCUAAGAGUCUUGCAUUUCUUAUUAUUCAAAUAAUUUGGCAACAGAUACAAGUAGAAUUCUGCAAUGGUUGCUAGUAAGAGACUAGAAUUGAAAAGAGAGCCUGUGGAAAUAGAGGAUAAAGAAGCAUCAACAAAUGGGGCUCAUGAGCAACAGGUUUCAGAGAAGAUGGGGUUAAGAGACCAGAUAAAGAUUUUUGAGAAAUAAAUAAAUAAAGAAGAAUAGAGAGAAGACAAAGAGUGAAGGAAGGAGGGAGGAAGAGGGAGAGAGAGCAGGAGAGGGAAGAAAGAAAAGAAAUGACAAGAAAAGAAUUCAAUGACUGUUUCUCUACAAUUGUAGGGAUGUUGAUAGUCCAGCUCUAGAGGAUGAUACAGAUUUGGGUUCACAGUCCAGCUUUUCCAUUUGCUGCUUCUGUUACCUUGGAAAAAUUAUUCAAUCUCUUUAAUCCUUGGUUUCCAUCUGAAGAUUGGAUAUAGCUAUAAUAUUUUACUAUAUUUUUGUUGAUACUAAAAGUAAUGGCAGCCAGGCAUGGUGGCUCACACCUGUAAUCCCAGCAAUUUGGGAGGUUGAGACAGGUGCAUCACUUAAGGCCAGGAUUUCAAGACCAGCCUGGCCAACAUGGUGAAACCACGUCUCUACUAAAAAUACAAAACUUUUUGGACUACAAAACACAGCUACUUGGGAGGCUGAGGCAGGAGAAUCACUUGAAGCUGGGAGGCAGAGGGUGCAGUGAGCAGAGGUUGUGCCACUGCACUAUAGCCUGAGUGACUGAGCAAGAAUCUGUCUCAAAAAAAAAAAAGGAAAUAAAUAAAAGUAACGGCAUAUGGCAUAUGUACAAGGCUUAAUCCAAUACAUGAAUAAAAAAGAUGAAUGUAUAUAUGCAGGAAUCCAAAAGUAUAACCUUAGUUGACUAUUCAGCUCAUUUAAAGGAGUGAGAAGAGGAUGGAAAACCCCAAUGUCUAGACAUCUUUCUUUUUCAGGCCUGUACAAAGGACAAGGAAAGCAUGGACUAACACAUCUCAGCUGUAAUUGAGUUUAGCCAGAUGUACCAGCUGUCUUCUCUCAUCUUCCCCUGGGGCUACAGCUUUUAUAGAGUGAUUGGAGUUUGCUUGAGUUCGUUUCCUUCAAGUCAUGGAUAAGAAAGCCAGGGUUUUGAGAGGUGAUGGAAGGCCUUUAUGUCAACAGAACAGAUGAAGAGAACUCAGAAUUACAAAAUUUGUUUCCAACUCCACUACACCCAUUUUUGGAAGAUCUGUUUUGAAUCCACGUUUCCAAGGAUGAUUUAGAAAAAGACAGCAAACUGAACAAAGCCCUGAGGAAAUAUUAACAAGUACAACCUUUCCCUGGAAGCAAUACACAUUUUCCUGGUGCCUGUUUAUUGUCACCUUUAUCUCCUUACUUGGGCUUGACAGCAAGUGGUGAACCAGGAUUUAUCUUGUUGAGGCUCAAAGCUUUAGUGGUGUUGUCAUUCGCCAGUAGCUCUGGUUCCUCUCAGCAAAAACAGUGGAAAACACUUUUAAUUGUAAAAUACAUUAUGUUUAACUUCCACUAAAAAAAAAAGAUGGUGAAG
Molecule: long non-coding RNA, 2759 nt
Filed under: Homo sapiens (human)
Lineage: Eukaryota; Metazoa; Chordata; Mammalia; Primates; Hominidae
Description: HSALNT0161457
Source: RNAcentral